This 84-nucleotide non-coding RNA is filed under the name Aidingimonas halophila. Lineage: Bacteria; Pseudomonadati; Pseudomonadota; Gammaproteobacteria; Oceanospirillales; Halomonadaceae. The record is from RNAcentral.
GAGAGCCGUAUGCGCUGAGAGGUGCACGGACGGUUCGGAGAGGAGAAGCAGGGAGAUAGUUCGACUACGCCCUGCUUCCUCUAC